GAUGAACGCUAGCUACAGGCUUAACACAUGCAAGUCGAGGGGCAGCAUUUCAGUUUGCUUGCAAACUGGAGAUGGCGACCGGCGCACGGGUGAGUAACACGUAUCCAACCUGCCGAUAACUCGGGGAUAGCCUUUCGAAAGAAAGAUUAAUACCCGAUGGUAUAAUUAGACCGCAUGGUCUUGUUAUUAAAGAAUUUCGGUUAUCGAUGGGGAUGCGUUCCAUUAGGCAGUUGGUGAGGUAACGGCUCACCAAACCUUCGAUGGAUAGGGGUUCUGAGAGGAAGGUCCCCCACAUUGGAACUGAGACACGGUCCAAACUCCUACGGGAGGCAGCAGUGAGGAAUAUUGGUCAAUGGGCGCAGGCCUGAACCAGCCAAGUAGCGUGAAGGAUGACUGCCCUAUGGGUUGUAAACUUCUUUUAUAUGGGAAUAAAGUUUUCCACGUGUGGAAUUUUGUAUGUACCAUAUGAAUAAGGAUCGGCUAACUCCGUGCCAGCAGCCGCGGUAAUACGGAGGAUCCGAGCGUUAUCCGGAUUUAUUGGGUUUAAAGGGAGCGUAGGUGGACAGUUAAGUCAGUUGUGAAAGUUUGCGGCUCAACCGUAAAAUUGCAGUUGAUACUGGCUGUCUUGAGUACAGUAGAGGUGGGCGGAAUUCGUGGUGUAGCGGUGAAAUGCUUAGAUAUCACGAAGAACUCCGAUUGCGAAGGCAGCUCACUGGACUGCAACUGACACUGAUGCUCGAAAGUGUGGGUAUCAAACAGGAUUAGAUACCCUGGUAGUCCACACAGUAAACGAUGAAUACUCGCUGUUUGCGAUAUACAGUAAGCGGCCAAGCGAAAGCAUUAAGUAUUCCACCUGGGGAGUACGCCGGCAACGGUGAAACUCAAAGGAAUUGACGGGGGCCCGCACAAGCGGAGGAACAUGUGGUUUAAUUCGAUGAUACGCGAGGAACCUUACCCGGGCUUAAAUUGCAUUUGAAUAUAUUGGAAACAGUAUAGUCGUAAGACAAAUGUGAAGGUGCUGCAUGGUUGUCGUCAGCUCGUGCCGUGAGGUGUCGGCUUAAGUGCCAUAACGAGCGCAACCCUUAUCUUUAGUUACUAACAGGUCAUGCUGAGGACUCUAGAGAGACUGCCGUCGUAAGAUGUGAGGAAGGUGGGGAUGACGUCAAAUCAGCACGGCCCUUACGUCCGGGGCUACACACGUGUUACAAUGGGGGGUACAGAAGGCAGCUACCUGGUGACAGGAUGCUAAUCCCAAAAGCCUCUCUCAGUUCGGAUCGAAGUCUGCAACCCGACUUCGUGAAGCUGGAUUCGCUAGUAAUCGCGCAUCAGCCAUGGCGCGGUGAAUACGUUCCCGGGCCUUGUACACACCGCCCGUCAAGCCAUGAAAGCCGGGGGUACCUGAAGUACGUAACCGCAAGGAGCGUCCUAGGGUAAAACUGGUAAUUGGGGCUAAGUCGUAACAAGGUAGCCGUACCGGAAGGUGCGGCUGGAACACCUCCUUUCUGGAGCGAUGUCGUUACAACGAUUUCAUAGGUUCUAUUAUUGUACUACUGGUACUUGUUUAUUUAUAACAUAUAGAUCAACCAUCUAUAGAAGUAUAGAUAGAGAUAAACAAGAGAAAUAAAGAAGCCGAGUCUAACAUCAGGUAGACAAGGUUGAACUAGUCCUAUAGCUCAGUUGGUUAGAGCGCUACACUGAUAAUGUAGAGGUCGGCAGUUCAACUCUGCCUGGGACUACUCCGAACAAAAAUUGUCGUUGUCAAUACAUUAUUGCAAUGUUCAAUUACUCUUGGGGGAUUAGCUCAGCUGGCUAGAGCAUCUGCCUUGCACGCAGAGGGUCAACGGUUCGAAUCCGUUAUUCUCCACAGUCUCUGAAAAGAGAAACGAUCUUUGACAUGAUGUACAAAAAGUAAAAUUUAGUAAAGAGCUAAAAGUAUAUAUCGAACCGUACGUUUUAAGUACCGCGAUAUUGAGUACUCGGGUUUAAUACCUGAUACUUAAUACCUAAUACUUAAAAGUAAGUUUGAAAGAAAGUAAGCAAGGGCGCAUGGCGGAUGCCUUGGCUCUCGGAGGCGAUGAAGGACGUGAUAAGCUGCGAUAAGCUCUGGGUAGGUGCAAAUAACCUUUGAUCCAGAGAUUUCCGAAUGGGACAACCCGGCAUUCUGAAGGAAUGUCAUCCAUCUUUGAUGGAAGCUAACGCAGGGAACUGAAACAUCUUAGUACCUGUAGGAAAAGAAAAUAAUAAUGAUUCCCCUAGUAGUGGCGAGCGAACGGGGAAUAGCCCAAACCACCCAUGUUACGGCAUGUGUGGGGUUGUAGGACCACGAUGUCGCAAGACAUUUGAUGAGUAGAAUCCUCUGGAAAGUGGAACCAUAGACGGUGAUAGUCCGGUAUACGAAGUCAAAUUAAGCGUAGUGGUAUCCUGAGUAGCGCGGGACACGAGAAAUCUUGCGUGAAUCUGCCGGGACCAUCCGGUAAGGCUAAAUACUCCCGAGAGACCGAUAGCGAACC
RNAcentral lists this ribosomal RNA (2510 nucleotides) under uncultured Bacteroides sp. RNAcentral's name for it is "partial contains 16S ribosomal RNA, 16S-23S ribosomal RNA intergenic spacer, and 23S ribosomal RNA". The stretch from base 1 to 1502 matches the Rfam family "Bacterial small subunit ribosomal RNA". The record is from RNAcentral. Lineage: Bacteria; Pseudomonadati; Bacteroidota; Bacteroidia; Bacteroidales; Bacteroidaceae.